Molecule: unclassified non-coding RNA, 262 nt
Filed under: Hevea brasiliensis (rubber tree)
Lineage: Eukaryota; Viridiplantae; Streptophyta; Magnoliopsida; Malpighiales; Euphorbiaceae
Source: RNAcentral
AGAAUUUAAUGCUCAAUCUGAUGACAAGGUUAUUUCUAUAAUGCUAGACACCAAGGGUCCGGAGGUUAGAAGUGGGGAUGUACCUCAACCAAUUAUGCUGAAGGAGGGACAGGAAUUUAAUUUCACUAUCAGAAGAGGAGUCAGCACAGAGGACACUGUUAGUGUAAAUUAUGAUGACUUUGUGAAUGAUGUUGAGGUUGGGGACAUACUAUUGGUGGAUGGUGGAAUGAUGUCAUUAGCUGUGAAGUCAAAGACAAAGGAU